GACGAACGCUGGCGGCGUGCCUAAUACAUGCAAGUAGAACGCACAGUUUAUACCGUAGCUUGCUACACCAUAAACUGUGAGUUGCGAACGGGUGAGUAACGCGUAGGUAACCUGCCUGGUAGCGGGGGAUAACUAUUGGAAACGAUAGCUAAUACCGCAUCAUAUUAAUUAUUGCAUGAUAAUUGAUUGAAAGAUGCAAUUGCAUCACUACCAGAUGGACCUGCGUUGUAUUAGCUAGUAGGUGAGGUAACGGCUCACCUAGGCGACGAUACAUAGCCGACCUGAGAGGGUGAUCGGCAACACUGGGACUGAGACACGGCCCAGACUCCUACGGGAGGCAGCAGUAGGGAAUCUUCGGCAAUGGACGAAAGUCUGACCGAGCAACGCCGCGUGAGUGAAGAAGGUUUUCGGAUCGUAAAGCUCUGUUGUAAGAGAAGAACGGGUGUGAGAGUGGAAAGUUCACACUGUGACGGUAUCUUACCAGAAAGGGACGGCUAACUACGUG
RNAcentral lists this ribosomal RNA (505 nucleotides) under uncultured bacterium. RNAcentral describes it as "partial 16S ribosomal RNA". It matches the Rfam family "Bacterial small subunit ribosomal RNA", at positions 28 to 507 of the family's 1533-position model. The record is from RNAcentral.